This 305-nucleotide ribosomal RNA is filed under the name uncultured bacterium. RNAcentral's name for it is "bacterial SSU rRNA". It matches the Rfam family "Bacterial small subunit ribosomal RNA", at positions 333 to 652 of the family's 1533-position model. The record is from RNAcentral.
GAUUGCCUACGGGACGCAGCAGUAGGGAAUCUUCCACAAUGGACGAAAGUCUGAUGGAGCAACGCCGCGUGAGUGAAGAAGUAUUUCGGUAUGUAAAGCUCUGUCAGCAGGGAAGAAAGCAAUGACGGUACCUGACCAAGAAGCCCCGGCUAACUACGUGCCAGCAGCCGCGGUAAUACGUAGGGGGCAAGCGUUAUCCGGAAUUACUGGGUGUAAAGGGAGCGUAGACGGCUGUGCAAGUCUGGAGUGAAAGGCGGGGGCCCAACCCCCGGACUGCUCUGGAAACUGUAUGGCUGGAGUGCAGG